Molecule: long non-coding RNA, 692 nt
Organism: Astatotilapia calliptera (eastern happy)
Lineage: Eukaryota; Metazoa; Chordata; Actinopteri; Cichliformes; Cichlidae
Source: Ensembl
AUGUUUCCUCCUCUGGUCCAGUUCUCCUGGAAAAGACAGAAGAAGAACGGCGGAGAAGCGGAGGAGCUGCCCCCUGCUGAGGGAGAGCAGCUGGAGCUCAGAGAGGCGGGACGCACCAUUGCCAUCAGGAUGGUUGAUGGGAGCCAUUCUGACACAUAUAAAUACAGCUGCUGGGUGAAGCACGAGGGGGGCACAGUGGAGGCCCGAACACAACAAGAGCUUCCAGCUCCAGCAGCCUCCUGUCCUCCAGAGAGAGAGCCAGCAGACCUGCCAGCUCUGCAGCCAGCUGACUGUAAGAUCACCUGCUGCCUCUCUGCAUGGACAGCUCCAAUGUCCAAUGAGGCAGCUGGAACAAGUUUAGGCUCUUAAAGUUGCACUAAUUGAUCAAAUCUUCAUCCAACAAGCUCUGAUAAAGCCACUGUACACUAGCUGCUCAGCACCAAACAGCAGACAGACCAUAAUAUGUCAGAGAUCAGUUUGUUAGCUGCUUGUGGAGUUCUUCUGCCCCCAAGUGGACACAAACACUACAUCAAUUCAUCCACUUGAAGAAGAAGCUGUGACUGUUUCUAUUUGGACUUUUUCUCCUUGAUCUGAGAGGAAUAACCCGACUGUCUGUCUAAGAAGCUGUGACUGUUUCUAUUUGGACUUUUUCUCCUUGAUCUGAGAGGAAUAACCCGACUGUCUGUCUGUCU